CAUUCACGGAGAGUUUGAUCCUGGCUCAGGACGAACGCUGGCGGCGUGCUUAACACAUGCAAGUCGAACGAUGAACCACUUCGGUGGGGAUUAGUGGCGAACGGGUGAGUAACACGUGGGCAAUCUGCCCUUCACUCUGGGACAAGCCCUGGAAACGGGGUCUAAUACCGGAUAACACUGCGGAUCGCAUGGUCUGCGGUUAAAAGCUCCGGCGGUGAAGGAUGAGCCCGCGGCCUAUCAGCUUGUUGGUGAGGUAAUGGCUCACCAAGGCGACGACGGGUAGCCGGCCUGAGAGGGCGACCGGCCACACUGGGACUGAGACACGGC
Molecule: ribosomal RNA, 327 nt
Filed under: Streptomyces bauhiniae
Lineage: Bacteria; Bacillati; Actinomycetota; Actinomycetes; Kitasatosporales; Streptomycetaceae
Description: bacterial SSU rRNA
Rfam family: Bacterial small subunit ribosomal RNA
Source: RNAcentral